CCAGGCACUGCCUGGCCUGGACGCUGGGGUGGUGGCUGGGCCGCGAUGGAGUCGGGGUGGGACGUGCUGCGCGCGCUGGGGACCGUGGCCGCCGCGUGGCUGCUGCUGCGCGCGGCGUGGGGGGUGGGCCGCGCCGUCUACGUCUACCUGCUGCCCCCGGUGCGCCGCGGCGACCCGUGGCUCCGGUCGCAGGGAGCCUGGGCAGUGGUGACAGGAGCCACUGCAGGCAUUGGCAAGGCUUAUGCGCACGAGGUGAGCAGGGACACCAGGUGUGGUGUGUGGGGUGUGGGCAGGAGCUUCUCAGAGCUGCUUGCCUAUAGCCCCCCAACUCAUCUGAGCAUUGUGUGAUCUAGUCUCAGAUGCCCCCUCCUCCAGGAAGCCUUCCAUCUGCCCACCCCGUACCUUAGGUCAGGUGUUCACAGUGCCCCUCUACUGUUUCUCUCCUUUCAUAUCACCACCCUAAUUCAUGAAUUCAAAUCAUUUUUAUUGACCACCCUCUAUGUGCCAGGCACCAUUCCAGGCACUGGAGAUGCAGCGGUGAACAAAAUAAGUUUAAAUAAAUGAAAGGACCUGGCCUCAUGAGGUUAUGUUCCAAGGGGAGACAGCUAGACAGGUGUAAAGAGAUACCUAAAUAAAACAGCGGACAUGCUGAGGAUACCUUCUGUGGCACCCACUGGACUUUGAGCCCCAGGAGGGCAGGGCUCUGGCUGUGCCGAUCCACAGGCUGGCCAUGGGGAC
This 738-nucleotide long non-coding RNA is filed under the name Dasypus novemcinctus (nine-banded armadillo). Its description in RNAcentral is "lncRNA (ENSDNOG00000052965.1)". Lineage: Eukaryota; Metazoa; Chordata; Mammalia; Cingulata; Dasypodidae. The record is from RNAcentral.